CUUCGAUUCAUUGGGGAGUAGCCGCCCUGUCGUGGACACUCGUGUUCGACAGGGGCGUACGUCAACAGACUUGGCCGGUUCCGGCUAUGGCGUGCGCAGCCCUCGGGCCUGGCGAGACCGAUGACGAUGCUUCCGCCAACCGGGCCGGGAUGCAUUGUCAUUGGCUCGCGUAUACACGGCCCGG
Molecule: small RNA, 184 nt
Filed under: Pandoraea pnomenusa
Lineage: Bacteria; Pseudomonadati; Pseudomonadota; Betaproteobacteria; Burkholderiales; Burkholderiaceae
Description: Manganese sequence
Rfam family: Manganese Mn2+ riboswitch aptamer (yybP-ykoY)
About the family: This RNA was originally discovered in E. coli during a large scale screen and was named SraF. The family was later found to exist upstream of related families of protein genes in many bacteria, including the the yybP and ykoK genes in B. subtilis. The specific functions of these proteins are unknown, but this structured RNA element may be involved in their genetic regulation as a riboswitch.
Source: RNAcentral